This 254-nucleotide ribosomal RNA is filed under the name uncultured bacterium. RNAcentral describes it as "partial 16S ribosomal RNA". It matches the Rfam family "Bacterial small subunit ribosomal RNA", at positions 524 to 775 of the family's 1533-position model. The record is from RNAcentral.
UACGAAGGGGGGCUAGCGUUGUUCGGAAUUACUGGGCGUAAAGCGCACGUAGGCGGAUAUUUAAGUCAGGGGUGAAAUCCCAGAGCUCAACUCUGGAACUGCCUUUGAUACUGGGUAUCUUGAGUAUGGGAAGAGGUAAGUGGAAUUGCGAGUGUAGAGGUGAAAAUCGUAGAUAUUCGCAGGAACACCAGUGGCGAAGGCGGCUUACUGGUCCAUUACUGACGCUGAGGUGCGAAAGCGUGGGGAGCAACAGG